Ribosomal RNA from Pteropus vampyrus (large flying fox), 119 nucleotides. Lineage: Eukaryota; Metazoa; Chordata; Mammalia; Chiroptera; Pteropodidae. The record is from Ensembl.
GUCUACGACCACGCCACCCUGAACAAGCCUGAUCCCAUCUGAUCUCGGAAGCUAUGCAGGGUCGGGCCUGGUUAGUACUUGGAUGGGAGACCACCUAGAAAGACCAGGUGCCGUAGGUG